Molecule: ribosomal RNA, 516 nt
Filed under: Helicocranchia pfefferi
Lineage: Eukaryota; Metazoa; Mollusca; Cephalopoda; Oegopsida; Cranchiidae
Also listed under: 1 other name
Description: partial small subunit ribosomal RNA
Rfam family: Bacterial large subunit ribosomal RNA
Source: RNAcentral
CUCUCUUUGUUGAGUAAUAUAUAAAGAGUUGGGCCUGCUCGGUGGACAUAAAGUUUUAACAGCUGCGGUAUUUUAACUGUACUAAGGUAGCAUAAUAAUUUGCCUUAUAAUUUGAGGCUAGAAUGAAUGGUUUGACGAAGGUUAAUCUGUCUCUAUUUUAUUUUUUAGAAUUUAAUUUUAAAGUGAAAAAGCUUUAAUUUUUUAAAGGGACGAGAAGACCCUAUUGAGCUUGUAAUUUUAUUGAUAUUAUACAUAUUUAUUUGUGUAAUGUUAUAUAAAUUUUAGUUGGGGUGAUUAAGGAAUAAAAGUGGUUGUAACUUCCUUAGGAUUAAUGUUGUUAGAUAAAGUAACCAAUUUUUUAUUGCUUUUAUUAUAGUUACCAUAGGGAUAACAGCGUAAUUUAUUUAGAGAGUUCUUAUUGAAAAAUAGGAUUGCGACCUCGAUGUUGGAUUAAAGUGACCUUAAGGUGAAGAAGCUUUAAUAUAGGUAAAUCUGUUCGAUUUUUAAAACUUUACA